RNAcentral lists this small RNA (63 nucleotides) under Caenorhabditis elegans. RNAcentral's name for it is "Unclassified non-coding RNA B0414.12". The record is from RNAcentral. Lineage: Eukaryota; Metazoa; Nematoda; Chromadorea; Rhabditida; Rhabditidae.
UGUCGGUGGAUAAUGAAUGUUUCUACCACCAUCUCACCAAACCAUGUUUUUCGUUUCGCGCCC